Molecule: ribosomal RNA, 885 nt
Filed under: uncultured bacterium
Lineage: Bacteria
Description: bacterial SSU rRNA
Rfam family: Bacterial small subunit ribosomal RNA
Source: RNAcentral
UUCGCCCUUAGAGUUUGAUGGUGGCUCAGAUUGAACGCUGGCGGCAGGCCUUACACAUGCAAGUCGAGCGGAAACGAUGGGAGCUUGCUCCCAGGCGUCGAGCGGCGGACGGGUGAGUAACACGUGGGAAUCUACCCAGUAGCGGGGGAUAGCCCGGGGAAACCCGGAUUAAUACCGCAUACGCCCUACGGGGGAAAGAUGGCCUCUUCUUGAAAGCUGUCACUAUUGGAUGAGCCCGCGUCAGAUUAGCUAGUUGGUGGGGUAAUGGCCUACCAAGGCGACGAUCUGUAGCUGGUCUGAGAGGAUGAUCAGCCACACUGGGACUGAGACACGGCCCAGACUCCUACGGGAGGCAGCAGUAGGGAAUAUUGCGCAAUGGGGGAAACCCUGACGCAGCGACGCCGCGUGAGUGAAGAAGGCCUUUCUGGUUGUAAAGCUCUGUAGGGAGGGAAGAACCACAUCUGGUAACGCAGAUGUCUGACGGUACCUCCAAAGUAAGGACCGGCUAAAUACGUGCCAGCAGCCGCGGUAAUACGUAUGGUCCGAGCGUUGUCCGGAAUGACUGGGCGUAAAGGGUGUGUAGGCUGACACGUAUGUCAGGUGUGAAAUUCCUGGGCUUAACCUGGGAACUGCGCUUGAAACUGCGUGUCUAGAGCAUGUUAGGGGUAAGUGGAAUUCCCGGAGUAGCGGUGAAAUGCGUAGAGAUCGGGAAGGACACCAGUGGCGAAGGCGACUUACUGGGACAUGGCUGACGCUGAGGCACGAAAGCGUGGGGAGCGAACGGGAUUAGAUACCCCGGUAGUCCACGCUGUAAACGAUGGAUACUAGAUGUCAGGGGGUUUAUACCUUGGUAUCUAAGCUAACGCGCUAAGUAUCCCGCCUGGG